CGUUGAAACACCAGUUCUCAUCCAAUAACCAAAGUUAAGCUACCUAGAACUUGGUCACUACCUAGAUGGGUGACCGCUGGGGAAGACCAGGUACUGUAA
This is a non-coding RNA of Acanthosepion pharaonis, 99 nucleotides long. Lineage: Eukaryota; Metazoa; Mollusca; Cephalopoda; Sepiida; Sepiidae. The record is from the annotation of a GenBank genome assembly.